Molecule: long non-coding RNA, 343 nt
Filed under: Physcomitrium patens
Lineage: Eukaryota; Viridiplantae; Streptophyta; Bryopsida; Funariales; Funariaceae
Description: long non-coding RNA (PPAT_LNC000725)
Source: RNAcentral
GCGAGGGAGAGUUGAAGUAGACACAAGUGGAGGGCGAGAAGAAAUGAGAUUGACAAGGGAGAGCAUUCAGAGAGCAGGAGUGUAACCACGUACGUGGGGUAUGGCUUUGAUAAUAUAGGGGUCACUUUAGCAACUUCCUGUAAAAAUUCCUACCCACACUUAUGCACACUGCACAUUCAUGCAAUCAUGCCCAAUGCCAAAAUGUGGAACGGAAAAGAGAGAGAGAAGAAGAACAGAAGAAGUGGAAGCAAUUGCAAGGAGAGAUCAGAUCAUGGUCGCGUGAAGAACGUCGAAGAGAAAUGCGGCAACUUUGGAAAGCAAACAUACAAUGAGAGUCACCGUC